This is a long non-coding RNA of Octopus sinensis (East Asian common octopus), 468 nucleotides long. RefSeq lists it as uncharacterized. The transcript has 3 exons. NCBI's taxonomy places the organism in Eukaryota, Metazoa, Mollusca, Cephalopoda, Octopoda, Octopodidae. The record is from RefSeq and is a predicted model, not a curated record.
UCUACGAAAAAGAACACAGCAUGAAUAUCGUUUGAUACGUCGACAAAAAGAGAAAGCUGAUUUCCUUCAAUACAUUCAAUACGAGCUUAAUUUAAUUGCUCUUUUCAACUCUCGUUUAAAAGUAAUUUUGUUAUAUUACUUUAGAAACAUGGCAAGUCUGUACAUACAUUGAGCCGUCAGCAUAUGGCCUCUAUUUCUAUGAGAAUUAAUCGCCUUUUUAAUCGUGUUUUGCAAAGAUUUCCCAAUGAUAUCAAACUUUGGUGGUCUUAUAUUGGAUUUUGUCAAAAUCUUGAGUGGGAUUCAAGAGCAUCUCAAGCAUACUUUGGGGCACUUAAACAUCACAACACAAAUGAAAAAUUGUGGCUAAUGGCGGCUCGUUGGAAUUAAGUUCCAGAUUAGACUUUGGGACAGCCCGUACCAUACUACAUAGGGCACUUAAAUUUCACAAAAAAUCAAAAUCGCUUUGGC